This 97-nucleotide transfer RNA is filed under the name Anaeromyxobacter sp. PSR-1. RNAcentral describes it as "tRNA-Thr". Lineage: Bacteria; Pseudomonadati; Myxococcota; Myxococcia; Myxococcales; Anaeromyxobacteraceae. The record is from RNAcentral.
CCGUGGGUGGCCCAGCGGGUGUGGCCGAUGCCGGUGGUGCCGGCGAGCGGCGCGUCGGCGAGCAGCGCCACCAGGUUCUGCAGCUUGCCCUUCGCCC